CGGUAAUUCCAGCUCCAAUAGCGUAUACUAACGUUGUUGCAGUUAAAAAGCUCGUAGUUGGAUUUCUGAUCUUUGCCAAUGGUUGUGUCGCCGCGUGCGAGGCGCCUUGCGCAGAGGUCAACAUAUGUCACGAGCCAGUGUGAUCUAUUCAUUUAGGUCCACUGGGUAAUGACUCGUUUGCUUUGAGAAAAUUAGAGUGUUCAAAGCAGGCAUUUGCCUUGAAUAUGUUAGCAUGGAAUAAUAGCAUAGGACUUCGGUUCUAUUUGUUGGUUGUUCGAGAACUGGAGUAAUGAUUGAUAGGGACGGUUGGGGGCAUCCGUAUUCUCAAGCGAGAGGUGAAAUUCUUGGACCUUGGGAAGACGAACAGCUGCGAAAGCGUUUGCCUAGGACGUUCUCUUUAAUCAAGAACGAAAGUUGGGGGAUCGAAGACGAUCAGAUACCGUCGUAGUCUCAACUAUAAACUAUGCCAGCUAGGGAUCGGUGGGUCUUUGUCACGAGUCCAUCGGCACCUUACGAGAAAUCAAAGCAUUUGGGUUCCGGGGGGAGUAUGGUCGCAAGGCUGAAACUUAAAGGAAUUGACGGAAGGGCACCACCAGGAGUGGAGCCUGUGGCUUAAUUUGACUCAACACGGGAAAACUUACCAGGUCCGGACAUAGUAAGGAUUGACAGAUUGAAAGCUCUUUCUUGAUUCUAUGGGUGGUGGUGCAUGGCCGUUCUUAGUUGGUGGAGUGAUUUGUCUGGUUAAUUCCGUUAACGAACGAGACCCGCGCCUGCUAAAUAGUCGGCCUCACUUCUGUGGGUGUUGUACUUCUUAGAGGGACCAUCCUGGGUAUACCGGAAGGAAGUUGCGGGCAAUAACAGGUCUGUGAUGCCCUUAGAUGUUCUGGGCUGCACACGGGCUACACUGCAAGAUACAACAAGCGUCGAUCACGCCUGACUGGAAGGUCCGGCCAAUCUUUGAAUAUCUUGCGUGAUUGGGAUAGACCAUUGCAAUUAUUGGUCUUCAACGAGGAAUUCCUAGUAAACGCGUGUCAACAACACGCAUUGAUUACGUCCCUGCCCUUUGUACACACCGCCC
Molecule: ribosomal RNA, 1078 nt
Filed under: uncultured stramenopile
Lineage: Eukaryota
Description: bacterial SSU rRNA
Rfam family: Eukaryotic small subunit ribosomal RNA
Source: RNAcentral